AUGAACGGGAAGAGCUCAAAUUUGAAAUCUGGCGUGCUCAGUGCGUCCGAGUUGUAAUCUAUAGAGUCGUUUUCCGUGCCGGACUGUGUCCAAGUCCCUUGGAACAGGGUAUCAAAGAGGGUGAUAAUCCCGUACUUGACACAAUGACCGGUGCUCUGUGAUACGUCUUCUACGAGUCGAGUUGUUUGGGAAUGCAGCUCAAAAAUGGGUGGUGAGUUCCAUCUAAAGCUAAAUAUUGGCGAGAGACCGAUAGCGAACAAGUACCGUGAGGGAAAGAUGAAAAGCACUUUGGAAAGAGAGUUAAACAGUACGUGAAAUUGUUAAAAGGGAAACGAUUGAAGUCAGUCGUGACUGAGAGGCUCAGCCGGUUCUGCCGGUGUAUUCCCCUCAGUCGGGUCAACAUCAGUUUUGUUCGGUGGAUAAGGGCAGUUGGAAGGUGGCACCCUCGGGUGUGUUAUAGCCAGCUGUCGCAUACAUCGGAUGAGACUGAGGAAUGCAGCUCGCCUUUAUGGCCGGGGUUCGCCCACGUUCGAGCUUAGGAUGUUGACAUAAUGGCUUUAAACGACCCGUCUUG
RNAcentral lists this ribosomal RNA (574 nucleotides) under Papiliotrema flavescens. RNAcentral describes it as "eukaryotic LSU rRNA". It matches the Rfam family "Eukaryotic large subunit ribosomal RNA", at positions 93 to 656 of the family's 3401-position model. The record is from RNAcentral. Lineage: Eukaryota; Fungi; Basidiomycota; Tremellomycetes; Tremellales; Rhynchogastremaceae.